RNAcentral lists this transfer RNA (74 nucleotides) under Denitrovibrio acetiphilus DSM 12809. It matches the Rfam family "tRNA". From Rfam's summary of the family: Transfer RNA (tRNA) molecules are approximately 80 nucleotides in length. Lineage: Bacteria; Pseudomonadati; Deferribacterota; Deferribacteres; Deferribacterales; Geovibrionaceae. RNAcentral also lists the same sequence under 1 other name. The record is from Rfam by way of RNAcentral.
CGCGGGGUAGAGCAGCUUGGUAGCUCGUCGGGCUCAUAACCCGAAGGUCGUUGGUUCAAAUCCAGCCCCCGCAA